Molecule: ribosomal RNA, 460 nt
Filed under: uncultured bacterium
Lineage: Bacteria
Description: partial 16S ribosomal RNA
Rfam family: Bacterial small subunit ribosomal RNA
Source: RNAcentral
CCUACGGGCGGCAGCAGUGAGGAAUAUUGGUCAAUGGGCGUAAGCCUGAACCAGCCAAGUCGCGUGAGGGAUGAAGGUUCUAUGGAUCGUAAACCUCUUUUAUAAGGGAAUAAAGCGCGGGACGUGUCCCGUUUGGUAUGUACCUUAUGAAUAAGGAUCGGCUAACUCCGGGCCAGCAGCAGCGGUAAUACGGAGGAUCCGAGCGUUAUCCGGAUUUAUUGGGUUUAAAGGGUCCGUAGGGGGCCUUUUAAGUCAGGGGUGAAAGUCUGUGGCUCAACCAUAGAAUUGCCGUUGAAACUGGGUGGCUUGAGUGUGUUUGAGGCAGGCGGAAUGCGUGGUGUAGCGGUGAAAUGCUUAGAUAUCACGCAGAACCCCGAUUGCGAAGGCAGCCUGCCAAGCCAUGACUGACGCUGAUGCACGAAAGCGUGGGGAUCAAACAGGAUUAGAUACCCGAGUAGUC